RNAcentral lists this ribosomal RNA (265 nucleotides) under uncultured bacterium. Its description in RNAcentral is "partial 16S ribosomal RNA". It matches the Rfam family "Bacterial small subunit ribosomal RNA", at positions 30 to 307 of the family's 1533-position model. The record is from RNAcentral.
AUUGAACGCUGGCGGCAUGGCUAAAACAUGCAAGUCGAGCGCGAAAGAGGAGCAAUCCUCGAGUAGAGCGGCGAAAGGGUGAGUAAUACGUUCCUACGUGCCUUGAGGUCAGGGAUAGCCAGGGGAAACUCUGGGUAAGUACCUGAUGUGGUCGAGAGAUCAAAGGCUUGCCGCCUCAAGAGCGGGGAACGGUCCUAUCAGCUAGUUGGUGAGGUAACGGCUCACCAAGGCGUUAGACGGGUAGCAGGUGUGAGAGCACGGCCUG